GAGUAACACGUGAGUAACCUGCCCUUAACUCUGGGAUAAGCCUGGGAAACUGGGUCUAAUACCGGAUAGGAGCGUCCACCGCAUGGUGGGUGUUGGAAAGAUUUAUCGGUUUUGGAUGGACUCGCGGCCUAUCAGCUUGUUGGUGAGGUAAUGGCUCACCAAGGCGACGACGGGUAGCCGGCCUGAGAGGGUGACCGGCCACACUGGGACUGAGACACGGCCCAGACUCCUACGGGAGGCAGCAGUGGGGAAUAUUGCACAAUGGGCGCAAGCCUGAUGCAGCGACGCCGCGUGAGGGAUGACGGCCUUCGGGUUGUAAACCUCUUUCAGUAGGGAAGAAGCGAAAGUGACGGUACCUGCAGAAGAAGCACCGGCUAACUACGUGCCAGCAGCCGCGGUAAUACGUAGGGUGCGAGCGUUAUCCGGAAUUAUUGGGCGUAAAGAGCUCGUAGGCGGUUUGUCGCGUCUGUCGUGAAAGUCCGGGGCUUAACCCCGGAUCUGCGGUGGGUACGGGCAGACUAGAGUGCAGUAGGGGAGACUGGAAUUCCUGGUGUAGCGGUGGAAUGCGCAGAUAUCAGGAGGAACACCGAUGGCGAAGGCAGGUCUCUGGGCUGUAACUGACGCUGAGGAGCGAAAGCAUGGGGAGCGAACAGGAUUAGAUACCCUGGUAGUCCAUGCCGUAAACGUUGGGCACUAGGUGUGGGGACCAUUCCACGGUUUCCGCGCCGCAGCUAACGCAUUAAGUGCCCCGCCUGGGGAGUACGGCCGCAAGGCUAAAACUCAAAGGAAUUGACGGGGGCCCGCACAAGCGGCGGAGCAUGCGGAUUAAUUCGAUGCAACGCGAAGAACCUUACCAAGGCUUGACAUGUUCUCGAUCGCCGUAGAGAUACGGUUUCCCCUUUGGGGCGGGUUCACAGGUGGUGCAUGGUUGUCGUCAGCUCGUGUCGUGAGAUGUUGGGUUAAGUCCCGCAACGAGCGCAACCCUCGUUCCAUGUUGCCAGCACGUCGUGGUGGGGACUCAUGGGAGACUGCCGGGGUCAACUCGGAGGAAGGUGAGGACGACGUCAAAUCAUCAUGCCCCUUAUGUCUUGGGCUUCACGCAUGCUACAAUGGCCGGUACAAUGGGUUGCGAUACUGUGAGGUGGAGCUAAUCCCAAAAAGCCGGUCUCAGUUCGGAUUGGGGUCUGCAACUCGACCCCAUGAAGU
RNAcentral lists this ribosomal RNA (1206 nucleotides) under Micrococcus sp. Its description in RNAcentral is "bacterial SSU rRNA". It matches the Rfam family "Bacterial small subunit ribosomal RNA", at positions 108 to 1326 of the family's 1533-position model. Lineage: Bacteria; Bacillati; Actinomycetota; Actinomycetes; Micrococcales; Micrococcaceae. The record is from RNAcentral.